UGGAUCCAGACUUUGAUCCUGGCUCAGGAUGAACGCUAGCUACAGGCUUAACACAUGCAAGUCGAGGGGAAACGACAUCGAAAGCUUGCUUUUGAUGGGCGUCGACCGGCGCACGGGUGAGUAACGCGUAUCCAACCUGCCCACCACUUGGGGAUAACCUUGCGAAAGUAAGACUAAUACCCAAUGAUAUCUCUAGAAGACAUCUGAAAGAGAUUAAAGAUUUAUCGGUGAUGGAUGGGGAUGCGUCUGGUUAGCUUGUUGGCGGGGUAACGGCCCACCAAGGCGACGAUCAGUAGGGGUUCUGAGAGGAAGGUCCCCCACAUUGGAACUGAGACACGGUCCAAACUCCUACGGGAGGCAGCAGUGAGGAAUAUUGGUCUAUGGGCGAGAGCCUGAACCAGCCAAGUAGCGUGCAGGAUGACGGCCCUAUGGGUUGUAAACUGCUUUUAUAAGGGAAUAAAGUGAGUCUCGUGAGACUUUUUGCAUGUACCUUAUGAAUAAGGACCGGCUAAUUCCGUGCCAGCAGCCGCGGUAAUACGGAAGGUCCGGGCGUUAUCCGGAUUUAUUGGGUUUAAAGGGAGCGUAGGCCGGAGAUUAAGCGUGUUGUGAAAUGUAGACGCUCAACGUCUGCACUGCAGCGCGAACUGGUUUCCUUGAGUACGCACAAAGUGGGCGGAACUCGUGGUGUAGCGGUGAAAUGCUUAGAUAUCACGAAGAACUCCGAUUGCGAAGGCAGCUCACUGGAGCGCAACUGACGCUGAAGCUCGAAAGUGCGGGUAUCGAACAGGAUUAGAUACCCUGGUAGUCCGCACGGUAAACGAUGGAUGCCCGCUGUUGGUCUGAAUAGGUCAGCGGCCAAGCGAAAGCAUUAAGCAUCCCACCUGGGGAGUACGCCGGCAACGGUGCAACUCAAAUGAAUUGACGGA
Molecule: ribosomal RNA, 926 nt
Filed under: uncultured Bacteroidota bacterium
Lineage: Bacteria; Pseudomonadati; Bacteroidota
Description: bacterial SSU rRNA
Rfam family: Bacterial small subunit ribosomal RNA
Source: RNAcentral